UACGUAGGCAGCGAGCGUUGUUCGGAGUUACUGGGCGUAAAGGGUGUGUAGGCGGUUGUUUAAGUUUGGUGUGAAAUCUCCCGGCUCAACUGGGAGGGUGCGCCGAAUACUGAAUGACUUGGAGUGCGGGAGAGGAGAGUGGAAUUCCCGGUGUAGUGGUGAAAUGCGUAGAUAUCGGGAGGAACACCAGUGGCGAAGGCGACUUCCUGGCCUGUUCUUGACGCUGAGGCGCGAAAGCUAGGGGAGCAAACGGG
RNAcentral lists this ribosomal RNA (254 nucleotides) under uncultured bacterium. RNAcentral's name for it is "partial 16S ribosomal RNA". It matches the Rfam family "Bacterial small subunit ribosomal RNA", at positions 524 to 776 of the family's 1533-position model. The record is from RNAcentral.